This 684-nucleotide long non-coding RNA is filed under the name Canis lupus familiaris (dog). Its description in RNAcentral is "lncRNA (ENSCAFG00000035562.3)". The record is from RNAcentral. Lineage: Eukaryota; Metazoa; Chordata; Mammalia; Carnivora; Canidae.
CUCCUUGGUAUUCUUUGUAAAUUACCAAGGAGAUAUGCAUAUAUGUAUAAUAUAGUGUUCUAUUUUUUUUUUAAUCAGUUGACCUGAGUUUUGAAGUUCAUUUGCCUGGCACUGAUUUAAGUACUGUGGAUAAACCUGCCCUCAAGUACAUUACAAUCUAAUUGGGAAGCUAAACUGAAUAUGAAACAAUGAGCCACUAAAUGCAACAAACUGAACUGAAGAAAUGAUAAGAUCUGUGACUGAUUAGAGGUUGUCGUUGCUGCAAGUGAUGUAUCGGGAAAGACUCUGCGUCUUUGUCCCUGAUCCAUGGGAGAGAGUACAGUGCUGUGUGGAUAACAUCCCCAUGGGCCGAGGAGUCAAGUGGGAAGCACCGUGCCAUGCAUCUCUGGCUGCCUCAGAUCUUCCUCUUCUCAUCUAUGCAGCAGAAGAAAUUAUGUUGCGUGAAUAUCAGCAUGAUAUCAGUAAAUGCCUCUAAAGCCUCUGACAAUGUUUUCCAACCAAAAGGUUUUAACUUGAAACUUUCUCAUAAAAAAUACAGAUGCUCAGCUGGUAAUCAAUCAUCUAUAAUUAUGCUUUGGAGAAACUUCAUAUGCAGAGAUACUCAACUUGUCAUAGCUACAAUUUGUAAGUAAUUCUAAAAAAUUUAUAUUCUGUAAUCUCUUUGAAAGUUUAACUCAGUGACUG